GACGAACGCUGGCGGCGUGCUUAACACAUGCAAAUCGAACGGAAAGGCCCUGCUUUUGUGGGGUGCUCGAGUGGCGAACGGGUGAGUAACACGUGAGUAACCUGCCCUUGACUUUGGGAUAACUUCAGGAAACUGGGGCUAAUACCGGAUAGUAGCUCCUGCUGCAUGGUGGGGGUUGGAAAGUUUCGGCGGUUGGGGAUGGACUCGCGGCUUAUCAGCUUGUUGGUGGGGUAGUGGCUUACCAAGGCUUUGACGGGUAGCCGGCCUGAGAGGGUGACCGGCCACAUUGGGACUGAGAUACGGGCCAGACUCCUACGGGAGGCAGCAGUGGGGACUAUUGCACGAUGGGCGGAAGCCUGAUGCAGCAACGCCGCGUGCGGGAUGACGGCCUUCGGGUUGUAAACCGCUUUCGCCUGUGACGAAGCGUGAGUGACGGUAAUGGGUAAAGAAGCACCGGCUAACUACGUG
Molecule: ribosomal RNA, 468 nt
Filed under: uncultured bacterium
Lineage: Bacteria
Description: partial 16S ribosomal RNA
Rfam family: Bacterial small subunit ribosomal RNA
Source: RNAcentral